This is a long non-coding RNA of Ornithodoros turicata, 696 nucleotides long. RefSeq lists it as uncharacterized. NCBI's taxonomy places the organism in Eukaryota, Metazoa, Arthropoda, Arachnida, Ixodida, Argasidae. The transcript is spliced from 2 exons. The record is from RefSeq and is a predicted model, not a curated record.
GCUUGAGAAGGUGUCUGCGGCUUUCGACGGCGGAUCAGCUCCUUUAGCCGCCACAUGGGACAUGUGUCCGGAACAUCUUUUGCACAGAGUUGGACGGAAGCAAGGCCAUUGACAGUUCUUACAGAAGAUGCGACGUUUCCUGGCCAUCAGUGCUGCUCCCACUGGACUGAUCGGCGUCGUCGUCUUCGUUCUCGGACGCCGACGCGAGGGCUCCCGAAGAAGAAGACCUCUUCUGCCAGGCCGAGGAACUGUCUUCGGCGGAAGAGGAGGACGUUUCGCUGUAACCCGUGUCUCGACCUGCGCAGGUACUUGUACUUCCGUGACUUUCUGCAGCGUCCUGCGUCGGAAGAAGAAUCGCAGGUGAAGAGUCAGCGACGUUUCGAGUGGAGACCGUUCUACCGGGCAGGGCACUCUCUGUUCUACGGGUCGACAACAGUCUGCAGUCGACGGAUAACUGGGCUUCCUUUCUGUCAGCUUCUGUGCUGUUUGAUGUUUUCCCUACUUUCCCGAAUGAACUUAUGUGGACGUAGCUUUCUCUGAAGUCGGCCCAGGAAUUACGCUCAACUUGUCCCCCCAAUAUCACACUCCUUUCUGCUGCCCUCUCUCCUACAUGUGUGCUCACCGUUAAUAAGCUAUAUAGUUGCCUCAAUGUAUUAACACCAAAUUAGCAGAAAAUGAUAAAACUGUCGACCGCUG